ACGGCGUCUUCACGGGCGAUUGGAUCUGAGCUCUUGUUCUGGCUCCUCCGUCACGGCGUCAACACAGCCAACCACACCGGAGUCAACUGCACGACGAGGAGUCGUCGUCCUCGAUCUUCCUCCCUCUCCUCCGCGCCCGCCGACGGGCCGCGUCUCCAUGUCCUCGGCCAUGUUGCCAGCGGCAGCAAUGCGGUCUGGCGUGGGCGCCGACGGAGUUCCCGUCUUCUUCCCUGCAUCGCGAGCGCAGUGCCGGCCUGCCUACGUCGGGGUUGCUCGCCACAUGGCCGACCCGGAGGUGGAGACGCUGCGACCAGGUUCAUCACCAAGCCGCAUCCCUGAACCUCCGUAGCGAGCGUUGUAGAUGCAGUACCGCCGCCGUAUCCCGCCCCCAUGAUCCAGACGCGCAGGCCAGAUCCGCCGCCGCCGGGAGCAGCGUAGAGUCAUGGCCGUGCGCUAUCAUACAGCCUCAAUGCGUCAACCCCGGCCAUCUCUACGCGGGACGACUAUGCCUCAUCAUGGAUGACCUCCAACACUGUCCUGCUGCCCAGAAGGAACAAAACAUCCGGCCCUCGGACGACUUCCCCUGUCCCCGCUAAGAUCGCCCCUUUUAAACAGCUGAGCCGCAUCGCUCCUAUGGUCUCCACCAUCAGCUUCGUGUCUCCCCCUUAGGUGACCUCAAAAGCACAUGCGUAGUAUCAAUAUCAUAGUUGUAAUUACUAAUCCAUACAAUUGUUAUUAUUUCGCUGUUAUUUGCAGACCUGUUUUUUGUGUGCUAAAGUUGGCUGGGUACUUUGGCCACUUUCACUUGAAAUAUCAAAGAUAGAAAGGAGCAUAUAUGGUUUCAUCUUUCAUGCCUCUCAUGUUUCGGUACUGUACCUACAAAUUUUUAGAUAUACAUUGGAGUACAGCAUAGUAUUAAAGUGCACCACAUCGACUAUAUCAUUGCCUCCAAAUGGUUACUUGGUCUCUGUAUUAUAGCUGAUGGUGUAAUCGAUGUUUCAGAUCUGAUACAGUCACCGGUUAUGAGAACUUUUUGAUUUGCUUAGUAACUUUUGUUGUAGAUUCUAGGUUUGUUUUGUCAGCUAACAGGACCUUCCAUACAUUAACAAAUACAGUAUAUUUUUAGCUGAUUGUUACCUACUUGACUUCAUCUGGCCACACCAGCAAGUUACAUAUAUAUGUUGACUCCUGCAUAUGAAUGACAGCAAUAUAUUGGCAUCUACCUGCUGAUCACGAGUUCACGACUGAGAUUUGAGAUGGAUAAGGUAUCCCUUCUUAACACGAAUAUGUUUUGUUUUCCUGAAAGAAAAACUUGACAGUUCAAACAUAGUUUUUAUAUUUGCAUUUAUGCAAAUUAUGUUGGGAUCUCCUUAUUCUCAUGAUUUGUUAUUCAGGACAUUGUCGGUCUGCCGCUUUAGAUCAUCUUUUAAUUUUCUUUAUCAUGAACAUCUAUUUCAAUGUUGUUUCUCAGCGAUUGGUGUAGGUCAUUCAGAACCCACUCCAACAUUUCGUCGGGUUUGUUACGUCUUUGCCUCCAUUUAGUUAGCCACUUGAGUUUUCCAAGUUAUCAUGCAUGUAUUACUGGAUAAUUCAUCACACUUUUAAUCUAUAGUAGACUAAGGAGAUUUAUGCUGCUACCCCAUAAGUAAUACUUCAAUGGUGAGCUACCUUCUGCAUUGUAGAGUUCUCUUUUUAAGGUAUGCCAUUCUAAAUCAUUUUCUGAUUUUAUAUUAAUAAUCGUUUGUUCAGUCCCUAUUGUUGUGACCUCAAUGGUAAUUAUUGCCUCCUAAUUCUAGCAAAUAUUCACCGGUUAUGUAUGGUUCUCUAUUUGCGCAUCACCAGUUGUGAAGGGUCCAAUAUAAUCAAUCUACUAAACUUUUCUUGGGAUAUUCAUACGUAAAUUUCUAUCAAAUGUACACAAUUUCCAUUUUUAGUCAGUGUAAACUUACCAGAUUAUUCAAGUUUUUCUUAAUUUGCUUCUGGGAACAACCCAAUAUAUGCCCAAGGAGUAGUGAAGCGGGUGAUCUAAUCUUGCUCUUUCUUUUGCUUCAGAAUGAAUUGUCGUCGGGCAAACUGAAUAAAAUACUGUAGAGAACCGCGACACCAAGGGUCUUCUCCUUUGCCAAGAGGUUAUUUCCACUACAGGAAGGAAAGGCUCUAUUGUCUUAACAAGGAUGAAAAGUAUAAUAGCAUACAUAAACCAACAUGGACAGCCCAGAUCUGGUAAAUUGGUUAUGUCACUUAAGCUGUCUCUAGCAUUUGCUAUAAUGCACAAAAUCCUGGUAUGGGGUAAAUUGCUAAACCUUCAAGACCGCUCAUUGGAGUGAGGACGUGGUCGGACAUUCACCCUACCAUCCAUCGACUCAUUGUUGCUGAUAUCAUAAGAUGGGACCUGGAAGAUAGAACAGAAACAGACGAAAAAGUUCUCCAAAUUGCGAAAGAGCGAUAUAGAGGCUGUCGAUCAACUCUAAGCUCCACUUACAAGGCAUGCAAAAUAGAUGCAGCUAGAUAGGCUAAUCCGUCGGAAGAUUUACAACCAGAAGAGUGAGAAAACGGAUGAUUGAGUACUUUGGCACUGAUUCAAAAUUUCAGGAACGCAGCCAAAAGAACAUUGAUACACGUAAGAAACUGAAGACAAAAGACAGAAUUGGAUCAAAAUCUUAUUUGCAACUUAGUUUUGAGAAGAGAAACUUGGAAACUGGAGAAGAUUCGGAUUGUAUUGCUCUGUGGGAACUCACCCACAAGAAGAAUGAAACAUGGUCUAACAGAGAGUCCCAAUAUGUUUACGCGAGUACACUGACUUUUGGUUAAUUAUUCAGUGUGCUUUCAGCAUGCUUCUUCAUCGGAUGGGAUUAUUCAUGUAUUGGAUCAUGCUAUUCUUGUUUCAUCAUUUAUAGUGUCAAUAUUGGUGGAUAUUUGCUACGAAAAUUAUAAAUUUUAUGAAUCUACAUAUUGUGUGUAUGGUUUUGAAUAUUGUAAUUGAAUGCCUGUAUUUUUUUU
Molecule: long non-coding RNA, 3000 nt
Organism: Triticum aestivum (bread wheat)
Lineage: Eukaryota; Viridiplantae; Streptophyta; Magnoliopsida; Poales; Poaceae
Exons: 5
Source: RefSeq, a predicted model, not a curated record